RNAcentral lists this ribosomal RNA (477 nucleotides) under uncultured bacterium. Its description in RNAcentral is "bacterial SSU rRNA". It matches the Rfam family "Bacterial small subunit ribosomal RNA", at positions 25 to 518 of the family's 1533-position model. The record is from RNAcentral.
CAGGACGAACGCUGGCGGCGUGCCUAACACAUGCAAGUCGAGCGAGGAGAUUCCUUCGGGAUGAUCCUAGCGGCGGACGGGUGAGUAACACGUGGGCAACCUGCCUCAUAGAGAGGAAUAGCCUUCCGAAAGGGAGAUUAAUACCUCAUAACAUUGCAGUUUCGCAUGGAACAGCAAUUAAAGGAGUAAUCCGCUAUGAGAUGGGCCCGCGGCGCAUUAGCUAGUUGGUGAGGUAAUGGCUCACCAAGGCGACGAUGCGUAGCCGACCUGAGAGGGUGAUCGGCCACAUUGGGACUGAGACACGGCCCAGACUCCUACGGGAGGCAGCAGUGGGGAAUAUUGCACAAUGGGGGAAACCCUGAUGCCAGCAACGCCGCGUGAGUGAUGACGGCCUUCGGGUUGUAAAGCUCUGUCUUCAGGGACGAUAAUGACGGUACCUGAGGAGGAAGCCACGGCUAACUACGUGCCAGCCGCGGC